UUAACACAUGCAAGUCGAACGAACCUUCGGGUUAGUGGCGGACGGGUGAGUAACGCGUGAGAAUCUGCCCUCAGGAGGGGGAUAACGGUUGGAAACGACCGCUAAUACCCCAUAUGCCUAUUGGUGAAAUGAAUUUCGCCUGAGGAUGAGCUCGCGUCUGAUUAGCUUGUUGGUGAGGUAAUGGCUCACCAAGGCUUCGAUCAGUAGCUGGUCUGAGAGGAUGAUCAGCCACACUGGGACUGAGACACGGCCCAGACUCCUACGGGAGGCAGCAGUGGGGAAUUUUCCGCAAUGGGCGAAAGCCUGACGGAGCAACGCCGCGUGAGGGACGAAGGCCUCUGGGCUGUAAACCUCUUUUCUCAAGGAAGAAGAUAUGACGGUACUUGAGGAAUAAGCCACGGCUAAUUCCGUGCCAGCAGCCGCGGUAAUACGGGAGUGGCAAGCGUUAUCCGGAAUUAUUGGGCGUAAAGCGUCCGCAGGCGGCUUUUCAAGUCUGCUGUUAAAACGUGGAGCUUAACUCCAUCAUGGCAGUGGAAACUGAAAGGCUUGAGUAUGGUAGGGGCAGAGGGAAUUCCCGGUGUAGCGGUGAAAUGCGUAGAUAUCGGGAAGAACACCAGUGGCGAAGGCGCUCUGCUGGGCCAUUACUGACGCUCAUGGACGAAAGCCAGGGGAGCGAAAGGGAUUAGAUACCCCUGUAGUCCUGGCCGUAAACGAUGAACACUAGGUGUCGGGGGAAUCGACCCCUUCGGUGUCGUAGCUAACGCGUUAAGUGUUCCGCCUGGGGAGUACGCACGCAAGUGUGAAACUCAAAGGAAUUGACGGGGGCCCGCACAAGCGGUAAGUAUGUGGUUUAAUUUCGAUGCAACGCAAGAACCUUUACCAGGGUUUGACAUCCUGCGAACCUCUUAAAAUUUGAGGGUGCCUUCGGGAUGCAGUGACAGGUGGUGCAUGCUGUCGUCAGCUCGUGUCGAGAGAUGUGGUAAGUCCCGCAAGAGGCGCACCCACGUUUUAGUGCCAGCUUUAGUUGGGCCUCU
RNAcentral lists this ribosomal RNA (1034 nucleotides) under uncultured Prochlorococcus sp. RNAcentral describes it as "bacterial SSU rRNA". It matches the Rfam family "Bacterial small subunit ribosomal RNA", at positions 48 to 1140 of the family's 1533-position model. Lineage: Bacteria; Bacillati; Cyanobacteriota; Cyanophyceae; Synechococcales; Prochlorococcaceae. The record is from RNAcentral.